AUACGAAGGGGGCAAGCGUUGUUCGGAAUAACUGGGCGUAAAGCGCACGUAGGCGGAAUGUUAAGUUAGAGGUGAAAUCCCAGGGCUCAACCCUGGAACUGCCUUUAAUACUGGCAAUCUAGAGACCGAGAGAGGUGAGUGGAAUUCCGAGUGUAGAGGUGAAAUUCGUAGAUAUUCGGAGGAACACCAGUGGCGAAGGCGGCUCACUGGCUCGGAACUGACGCUGAGGUGCGAAAGCGUGGGGAGCAAACAGGAUUAGAAACCCCAGUAGUCC
RNAcentral lists this ribosomal RNA (274 nucleotides) under uncultured bacterium. Its description in RNAcentral is "partial 16S ribosomal RNA". It matches the Rfam family "Bacterial small subunit ribosomal RNA", at positions 523 to 796 of the family's 1533-position model. The record is from RNAcentral.